RNAcentral lists this ribosomal RNA (471 nucleotides) under uncultured bacterium. RNAcentral's name for it is "partial 16S ribosomal RNA". It matches the Rfam family "Bacterial small subunit ribosomal RNA", at positions 28 to 507 of the family's 1533-position model. The record is from RNAcentral.
GACGAACGCUGGCGGCGUGCUUAACACAUGCAAGUCGAACGGUAAAGCCUAGCUUGCUAGGGGUGUUAGUGGGGCACGGGUGAGUAAUACGUGAGUAACCUACCUUUAACUCUGGGGUAAGACUGGAAAAAAGGGUCUAUUACCGGAUACGACAAAUCCCCGCGUGGGGUGUUGGUGGGAACGGUUAGGUGGUGGGUUUAGAUGGUGGCACGGACUAGCAGCUUGUUGGGGGGGUAACGGAACACCACGGCGACGACGGGUAGGCGGCCUGAGAGGGGGACCGCCCCCAAUGGGACUGAGGGACGGCCCAGACGCCAACGGGAGGCAGCGGGGGGGAAUAUUACACAAUGGGCGGACGCCUGAUGCGGCGACGCCGCGUGCGGGAUGACGGCCUUCGGGUUGUAAACCGCUUUCGCCUGUGACGAAGCGUGAUUGACGGUACUGGAAGAAGAAGCACCGGCUAACUACGUG